UACGGAGGGUGCAAGCGUUAUCCGGAUUCACUGGGUUUAAAGGGUGCGUAGGAGGGCAGGUAAGUCAGUGGUGAAAUCUCCGAGCUUAACUUGGAAACUGCCGUUGAUACUAUCUGUCUUGAAUAUUGUGGAGGUGAGCGGAAUAUGUCAUGUAGCGGUGAAAUGCUUAGAUAUGACAUAGAACACCAAUUGCGGAGGCAGCUCGCUACACAUAUAUUGACUCUGAGGCACGAAAGCGUGGGGAUCAAACAGG
This 253-nucleotide ribosomal RNA is filed under the name uncultured bacterium. RNAcentral's name for it is "partial 16S ribosomal RNA". It matches the Rfam family "Bacterial small subunit ribosomal RNA", at positions 524 to 776 of the family's 1533-position model. The record is from RNAcentral.